RNAcentral lists this ribosomal RNA (253 nucleotides) under uncultured bacterium. Its description in RNAcentral is "partial 16S ribosomal RNA". It matches the Rfam family "Bacterial small subunit ribosomal RNA", at positions 524 to 776 of the family's 1533-position model. The record is from RNAcentral.
UACGGAGGAUGCAAGCGUUAUCCGGAAUGAUUGGGCGUAAAGCGUCCGCAGGUGGCGAUGUAAGUCUGCUGUUAAAGCGUCUAGCUCAACUAGAUACAAGCAGUGGAAACUACAUCGCUAGAGUGCGUUCGGGGCAGAGGGAAUUCCUGGUGUAGCGGUGAAAUGCGUAGAGAUCAGGAAGAACACCGGUGGCGAAGGCGCUCUGCUAGGCCGCAACUGACACUGAGGGACGAAAGCUAGGGGAGCGAAUGGG